GGAUUUACAGAAUUUGUCCAUCCACUGGUCCGCCAAGACCGCAGCUCCACACACCAGCAGCACGCCAUCCCGCUGGCCUCGAGCUCCAAGGAGAUGCCACACCUUCACUGAUGCCAAGUGUUCAGUGGUAAUUGUGUAUUCACUCCACUUCUCUGAAAACACAAUUUAUGCCUGUACCUGUACGUCAUAGGUAAGGGAUAUAAUUAAUGUCCCACUACUAUAAUAUGAAGGGGCAAUGGUAUUUUCGAAGGCGUUGAGUGACUACACAACUACCCAAUGGACGUGCUCACAUAAUAGCUAGGCGGGCUGCUUCAACACUGCUUCGAACAGCAAUGAAACUAUCUCCGCGAUCACCCCAGCCGGCAGCCGCCCCAGUGUGCGCCAAGACCCGGGCAGGGGCGGAGGUGACGACGAGGUGGUGGUGGUUGUGGUAAAUGACGGUGUAGUGGCGUCUGCUGCUGCGUGGAUCUUUUUAAUCGAGUAAAAUGAACUGGUGAUUUAAGACGAACACCGACGAAACACCGAGGAUGGAAGGACGACAGGUAGUAGAGGAAGCAAUGAAGAGAAAGGUAUCAACCAUAGUCAUCAGCUGGUAUGCCUCCCAUGCAGGAGUAGCAACCCUUCAGGGUGAGCAACCAUCAUAGUAUUCAUCUUUGUUUCUGCCACACCUGGACACCUGGGUAGUCCCCAUGACUGAGAGCAAGGAGUUCUCAAUCAAGAUGAAUACAGCUGGCUUGUGGGAGCAUUGUAACACCUGGUCAGGACCAUAGAGCACCAUGCCUGAAAGAAGCAAUGGCAUUCAGUUUCUUCUGCUCUCCACAUCUCAGAAGAACAGCAACUGGAAAAAAAAACCUUGUUGAUUCAAUUGCUACAAGCUAUUUCUGUAACACUGACUGUAUUCCUAAAUUCCUGAAAAGUUCAUUAAAUAUACUACUGCAGA
This is a long non-coding RNA of Eriocheir sinensis (Chinese mitten crab), 940 nucleotides long. RefSeq lists it as uncharacterized. The transcript has 5 exons. NCBI's taxonomy places the organism in Eukaryota, Metazoa, Arthropoda, Malacostraca, Decapoda, Varunidae. The record is from RefSeq and is a predicted model, not a curated record.